RNAcentral lists this long non-coding RNA (410 nucleotides) under Androctonus crassicauda. Lineage: Eukaryota; Metazoa; Arthropoda; Arachnida; Scorpiones; Buthidae. The record is from RNAcentral.
UCAAAUGUUUACCGGAUACUCAGGUUAAUUAUGAUUGUUUUCUAUUUUAUGUAGAAGAUAAAUAUCUGUUAAUUAUAAACUUAAAAUUAUGAAUUUUAUUGGUAGAAUUCUAGAUGAACCAUAGCGUGCCUCUGAUUGGACGGCGAGUCUACGACGUCGAGCGAAUCAACGACAGGCGCAAUCGACGGCACUCGCGACGCGAUAGUAAUCGCACAAUCUGCACGGCUCGCGACGCGUGCGAAGUAAGAGAAGCCCUUAUUCCAGUCUACGUAAUGGUCCGGGCAUGGCAGUUCGAUGUGAGCGUGCAGACCUUCAGACACUGUUCAUUCUUUACUGUUCGUGCUUUACUGUCACCAGGUAUGGAACCGCCCUGAGAGAGAAUCAAUUAUACUGACGUCUGAACAUUGAGC